Molecule: ribosomal RNA, 253 nt
Filed under: uncultured bacterium
Lineage: Bacteria
Description: partial 16S ribosomal RNA
Rfam family: Bacterial small subunit ribosomal RNA
Source: RNAcentral
UACAGAGGUGGCAAGCGUUGCUCGGAAUUACUGGGCGUAAAGCGCGUGUAGGCGGGACGAUAAGUCGGAAGUGAAAUCCCCGGGCUCAACCCGGGAACUGCUUUCGAAACUGCCGUCCUCGAGUACCGGAGAGGGUGGCGGAAUUCCUGGUGUAGAGGUGAAAUUCGUAGAUAUCAGGAGGAAUACUGGUGGUGAAGGUGGUUACCUGGAUGGUCAUUGACGCUGAGAUGCGAAAGCGUGGGGAGCAAACAGG